UGGGGAAUUUUGGACAAUGGGCGAAAGCCUGAUCCAGCAAUGCCGCGUGUGUGAAGAAGGCCUUCGGGUUGUAAAGCACUUUUGUCCGGAAAGAAAUCCUUGGCUCUAAUACAGUCGGGGGAUGACGGUACCGGAAGAAUAAGCACCGGCUAACUACGUGCCAGCAGCCGCGGUAAUACGUAGGGUGCAAGCGUUAAUCGGAAUUACUGGGCGUAAAGCGUGCGCAGGCGGUUUGCUAAGACCGAUGUGAAAUCCCCGGGCUCAACCUGGGAACUGCAUUGGUGACUGGCAGGCUAGAGUAUGGCAGAGGGGGGUAGAAUUCCACGUGUAGCAGUGAAAGUGCGUAGAGAUGUGGAGGAAUACCGAUGGCGAAGGCAGCCCCCUGGGCCAAAUACUGACGCUCAUGCACGAAAGCGUGGGGAGCAAAACAGGAUUAGAUACCCUGGUAGUCCACGCCCUAAAACGAUGUCAACUAGUUGUUGGGGACUUCAUUUCCUUAGUAACGUAGCUAACGCGUGAAGUUGACC
Molecule: ribosomal RNA, 527 nt
Filed under: uncultured bacterium
Lineage: Bacteria
Description: partial 16S ribosomal RNA
Rfam family: Bacterial small subunit ribosomal RNA
Source: RNAcentral